This 467-nucleotide ribosomal RNA is filed under the name uncultured bacterium. RNAcentral describes it as "partial 16S ribosomal RNA". It matches the Rfam family "Bacterial small subunit ribosomal RNA", at positions 28 to 507 of the family's 1533-position model. The record is from RNAcentral.
GACGAACGCUGGCGGCGUGCUUAACACAUGCAAGUCGAACGGAAAGGCCCUGCUUUUGUGGGGUGCUCGAGUGGCGAACGGGUGAGUAACACGUGAGUAACCUGCCCUUGACUUUGGGAUAACUUCAGGAAACUGGGGCUAAUACCGGAUAGGAGCUCCUGCUGCAUGGUGGGGGUUGGAAAGUUUCGGCGGUUGGGGAUGGACUCGCGGCUUAUCAGCUUGUUGGUGGGGUAGUGGCUUACCAAGGCUUUGACGGGUAGCCGGCCUGAGAGGGUGACCGGCAACAUGGGGACUGAGAUACGGCCCAGACUCCUACGGGAGGCAGCAGUGGGGAAUAUUGCACAAUGGGCGGAAGCCUGAUGCAGCAACGCCGCGUGCGGGAUGACGCCUUCGGGUUGUAAACCGCUUUCGCCUGUGACGAAGCGUGAGUGACGGUAAUGGGUAAAGAAGCACCGGCUAACUACGUG